This 250-nucleotide ribosomal RNA is filed under the name uncultured bacterium. RNAcentral's name for it is "partial 16S ribosomal RNA". It matches the Rfam family "Bacterial small subunit ribosomal RNA", at positions 525 to 774 of the family's 1533-position model. The record is from RNAcentral.
ACGUAGGUAGCGAGCGUUAUUCGGAUUUACUGGGCGUAAAGGGUCCGCAGGAGGCCUGUCAAGCCGGAUGUGAAAGCCCAAGGCUCAACCUUGGAAGGUCAUCCGGGACUGCCGGGCUCGAGUGCACGAGGGGUGAACGGAAUUCCUGGUGUAGCGGUGGAAUGCGUAGAUAUCAGGAGGAACACCGAUGGCGAAGGCGGUUCACUGGCGUGCAACUGACUCUCAGGGACGAAAGUGUGGGUAGCAAACA